UACAGAGGGGGCAAGCGUUAUUCGGAAUUAUUGGGCGUAAAGGGCGCGUAGGCGGCGUCGUAAGUAGGAUGUGUAAUCCCCGAGCUUAACUUGGGAACUGCAUCCUAGACUGCGAUGCUAGAGUGCUGGAGAGGGUGGUAGAAUUCCACGUGUAGCGGUGAAAUGCGUAGAGAUGUGGAGGAAUACCAGUGGCGAAGGCGGCCACCUGGACAGUAACUGACGCUGAGGCGCGAAAGUGUGGGUAGCAAACAGGAUUAGAUACCCUGGUAGUCCACACUGUAAACGAUGAACACUUGGUGUGGCGAGAGUUGACCCUCGCCGUGCCGGAGCUAACGCGUUAAGUGUUCCGCCUGGGGAGUACGGUCGCAAGGCUG
This 374-nucleotide ribosomal RNA is filed under the name uncultured prokaryote. Its description in RNAcentral is "bacterial SSU rRNA". It matches the Rfam family "Bacterial small subunit ribosomal RNA", at positions 524 to 896 of the family's 1533-position model. The record is from RNAcentral.